This is a long non-coding RNA of Hirundo rustica (Barn swallow), 1395 nucleotides long. RefSeq lists it as uncharacterized. Lineage: Eukaryota; Metazoa; Chordata; Aves; Passeriformes; Hirundinidae. The transcript is spliced from 3 exons. The record is from RefSeq and is a predicted model, not a curated record.
AUUUGUGAAACCCAUUGAAGUUAGGACCUCUGGCAGACAGAAGCUGCCAUCUCUCCUGAUGACCCUGCUGAUUCCACCUAUCUGCACCAAAGAAGACCUGGAUAAGCCCAGCCUUGCAUCAGAUGAGGGGCAGCUGUGCAAUACCUUGGUUGUGCCAAGACUGGGGACGGAUUGCCCCCUCCAAUGCCCCAUCCUGUAGCCAUGGGAGCUGCAGGGGGAGUUCUGACAGAUCACAGGGGUGUCAGGUAUGAACCCGGUCGAUGUACUGUACUGGAGAGCUGAACAAGUGCAAAAGUCUGAUCUCUUCUGUAACCAUCAGCUGGGGAAGUGCUAGAAAUGUAUGACUCAGCUGGAGGAGUUAUCAGUUCCUGAGAUCUGAUCUUGUGUCUGAAACCCACUGGAGAAUACUAUUGCUAAUUAUUCCACAAACUUUGUCUGCAUAUUUGAAGGUGAAAAUGUGAAGGUCUGCAUUUCCAAAUUCUCUGGAGACCCACAGCAUCAGGAGUGCUGAGGGGAUAAUAUGGGGUCUGGGCAUCACCAAAACCCAUGGUUUGGUCUUUUGUAACAUAGAAGUGAGUUUCAAAAUGUUAGCUUGUAUUUUAUAUGUAUUAGUUUACAUAUAUGAAUGUACAAUUUUUUUUAUGAUUGAAUUUCCAGAACAAUUGGUGUGUUGAGGUUGCUUCAUAUGUAGAAAUUGGUGAUUAAUAUUCCAACGUAGAUUAAUAUUUGUGAAGUCAGAGAGGUCUGACUUCAAAAUUGUGUUCAAAUGAGAACUGCAAAAGAUUACACAGUUCUAAUUUCCCCUAAGACAAGGAGGCCUUCCCUCUGACAAGCAACAGAGUAUUAUUGCCCUAACACUGGUGUUCACCUUCCUUAUGGCGUAGACAGUGCACCAUGAAUAAAUAAUGAAAUGAUUUCUUUGGCAUUGUCUUCCAAGAACAAAACCCACUGGUAACUCUGAAAUGCAGCUAUUACAUAACCCACCAUGUACAGCCAGACUAUUUUGGUAUUGUGCUUUUUGUAAUUACUGCUCAGACAUAUGAAGCUAUUUUUACAAAACAGGCCAAUAACAUUCUUUCACUGGAGGAUCAUUCCUGAUGGUCACGUGUGUCUUGUAUGCAGAACACAAAUAUGGUAGGCAGCAGUGAUGUUGCUAAAUAUCUGAUAUACCAUAAUGCAAAACUGCCAUCUACAAGUCAUCCAUAUAAUUUCCUAUCAUUUCUUUUUUCUAGGAGAUUCAGAUAUGCUUGUCUUAAUGCACUCAGUUCAAUUUCUCAUUUAAAGUGGAUGUCACUGAUUUCAUACCUGACAAACAACUUAAAAAGUAAACAACAAUGUAAUGAUGCGGUCUCCUUCCAUUCUUGUGUCCACGGAGAUAUAACAGUUUAACUCUUU